UACGAAGGGGGCUAGCGUUGCUCGGAAUUACUGGGCGUAAAGCGUGCGUAGACGGUUAUGUAAGUCAGGUGUGAAAGCCCCGGGCUCAACCUGGGAAUUGCAUUUGAGACUGCAUAGCUAGGGUGCGGAAGAGGGAAGCGGAAUUUCCGGUGUAGCGGUGAAAUGCGUAGAUAUCGGAAGGAACAUCAGUGGCGAAAGCGGCUUCCUGGUCCAGCACCGACGUUCAGGCACGAAAGCGUGGGGAGCAAACAGG
RNAcentral lists this ribosomal RNA (253 nucleotides) under uncultured bacterium. Its description in RNAcentral is "partial 16S ribosomal RNA". It matches the Rfam family "Bacterial small subunit ribosomal RNA", at positions 524 to 776 of the family's 1533-position model. The record is from RNAcentral.